This 434-nucleotide long non-coding RNA is filed under the name Struthio camelus australis. RNAcentral describes it as "lncRNA (ENSSCUG00000005086.1)". The record is from RNAcentral. Lineage: Eukaryota; Metazoa; Chordata; Aves; Struthioniformes; Struthionidae.
CAAGAGUUCUCCAUUCUAGUAUUCCUUUUGUCACAUCCAAGGUCUUUAUUCAUGUUAACUAAAUUGCAUCUUUCCAGAAUUCUAGUUUCGUAUGGAUGGAGAACAAGAGAGUCUAUGAAUCAACUGGAAUUCAGAGUUUUUGCUCAAAUGUCUGAUGGCAUCCACAAUUUCACAUUGCUAGAAAACUCAUCCCAUCUCAGCAGAGACCUUGGAAUGGAUCCUGAAUAAAAUCAUAGUACUGAAUUUCCCAUGCCUUGCUCAAAAAGCUUUUCUUCAUGUUGCAAUAUUCAGCAGAAAAGACAAGAUCCAAAGGAACAAACAACAAUGAGCUAAAAAGCACCGUAGAAACGCAGUCCUGUAGCGUUGAGCAAUUUAUCUGGAUGUACUCACAGUUCUGCCAGAAAUUUCCUUUUCUAACCCAAAACAUCACUUGA